This 787-nucleotide ribosomal RNA is filed under the name uncultured archaeon. RNAcentral describes it as "bacterial SSU rRNA". It matches the Rfam family "Archaeal small subunit ribosomal RNA", at positions 84 to 872 of the family's 1478-position model. The record is from RNAcentral.
UACGGCUCAGUAACACGUAGUCAACCUACCCUAUGGACGGGGAUAACCUCGGGAAACUGAGAAUAAUACCCGAUAGAACACUAUACCUGGAAUGGUUUGUGUUCCAAACAAUUUAUUGCCGUAGGAUGGGACUGCGGCCUAUCAGUUUGUUGGUGAGGUAAUGGCCCACCAAGACUAUUACAGGUACGGGCUCUGAGAGGAGUGGCCCGGAGAUGGGUACUGAGACACGGACCCAGGCCUUAUGGGGCGCAGCAGGCGAGAAAACUUUGCAAUGUGCGAAAGCACGACAAGGUUAAUCCGAGUGGUUUCUGCUAAAGAAACCUUUUGACAGUCCUAGAAACACUGUUGAAUAAGGGGUGGGCAAGUUCUGGUGUCAGCCGCCGCGGUAAAACCAGCACCUCAAGUGGUCAGGAUGAUUAUUGGGCCUAAAGCAUCCGUAGCCGGCUCUGUAAGUUUUCGGUUAAAUCUGUACGCUCAACGUACAGGCUGCUGGGAAUACUGCAGAACUAGGGAGUGGGAGAGAUAGACGGUACUCGGGAGGAAGUGGUAAAAUGCUUUGAUCUCUCGAUGACCACCUGUGGCGAAGGCGGUCUAUCAGAACACGUCCGACGGUGAGGGAUGAAAGCUGGGGGAGCAAACCGGAUUAGAUACCCGGGUAGUCCCAGCUGUAAACUAUGCAAACUCAAUGAUGCAUUGACUUAUGGUCAAUGCAGUGUUGCAGGGAAGCCGUUAAGUUUGCCGCCUGGGAAGUACGUACGCAAGUAUGAAACUUAAAGGAAUUGGCGGA